Castor canadensis (American beaver) is the source of this 850-nucleotide non-coding RNA. The record is from RefSeq and is a predicted model, not a curated record. Lineage: Eukaryota; Metazoa; Chordata; Mammalia; Rodentia; Castoridae.
CUUUCUGGGGUCCCGCAUUGUCCUCCCCAGACGUGCGGUCCGUGUACGCGAUGUGGGUCUGGGCAACUGAAUUUUUGGACUCCAUCCUGCUGAAGUUGUUCCAGCAGCAUCUAGUCUUGAUGCUUCCCCUACCUUUUUGGGGUUGGAGUGAGCGACAAGGUUUUAGAACCUGGAAAUACUUGGAAGCGAUUUUCCCAGUUAAGACCCCAUUUCUCAGUGGAAUAUUUGUUUAUUUUGGCUUUAGUAAGUACUCUGAGCGAUUUCUCCUACCAAACCCAGUUACCCAAAAGGAAUCCGUGCCUGGGACACCUUCCAGCAAAGCUCGGGGCGGUGACGAGCAGUGGCCUGUGUUGUGAUCAGCGCGCAGGGGGCGGAGCGCCGCGGCGGGCGCGCCUUAGCCACCGGAUCUGUUUACUGUCAACUCAUUCUACGUUUGGGGAAAGCGCACCACCUGCUGGCCAAGCCGCGCCUAGCGGUGAAACCAAGGAUCCGAAAAAUAUCCCGAAGUUUAGAACAGAUGGCGUUUUGAAGUUCUGGGGCGAAGUCAUGCAAGGAUCAGUCAUUACUGUUUUGAAGUUAACAAUGGAAGCCCAUUGGCAAUGAAAAGACGAAAUAUCCAUGUGUUAGCAAAUGACCACCGUCAGUCGUAGAUGUCCAGCUGGCUUGCCCAGCAGUGAAAUUAUAGGAUUUCCUCUGUGCUUUCAGCCCUAGACUUUUCUACAAGACCUCCUGACCUUCAUCCAACUCAGUAUCCACUCACUUCCCGGACUCAGGCUCUUACUGGUUUAUAUAAAGUUAUAUACUUUAUCCUAGGAAAAUUAAAUAAUUAUCCUGACUAAAGACAAUUUCA